CCUACGGGGGGCAACAGUGAGGAAUAUUGGUCAAUGGGCGCAAGCCUGAACCAGCCAAGUCGCGUGAGGGAUGACGGUCCUAUGGAUUGUAAACCUCUUUUGUCGGGGAGCAAGGCCCACCACGUGUGGCGGGAAGGAGAGUACCCGAAGAAAAAGCAUCGGCUAACUCCGUGCCAGCAGCAGCGGUAAUACGGAGGAUGCGAGCGUUAUCCGGAUUUAUUGGGUUUAAAGGGUGCGUAGGCGGAAGGUUAAGUCAGCGGUCAAAUGUCGGUGCUCAACACCGGCCUGCCGUUGAAACUGGUCGUCUUGAGUGAGCGAGAAGUAUGCGGAAUGCGUGGUGUAGCGGUGAAAUGCAUAGAUAUCACGCAGAACUCCGAUUGCGAAGGCAGCAUACCGGCGCUCAACUGACGCUGAGGCACGAAAGCGUGGGGAUCGAACAGGAUUAGAUACCCUGGUAGUC
RNAcentral lists this ribosomal RNA (460 nucleotides) under uncultured bacterium. Its description in RNAcentral is "partial 16S ribosomal RNA". It matches the Rfam family "Bacterial small subunit ribosomal RNA", at positions 338 to 795 of the family's 1533-position model. The record is from RNAcentral.